This 497-nucleotide ribosomal RNA is filed under the name uncultured bacterium. RNAcentral's name for it is "partial 16S ribosomal RNA". It matches the Rfam family "Bacterial small subunit ribosomal RNA", at positions 28 to 507 of the family's 1533-position model. The record is from RNAcentral.
GAUGAACGCUGGCGGCGUGCCUAAUACAUGCCAGUCGAGCGAACAGACGAGGAGCUUGCUCCUCUGACGUUAGCGGCGGACGGGUGAGUAACACGUGGAUAACCUACCUAUAAGACUGGGGUAACUUCGGGAAACCGGAGCUAAUACCGGAUAAUAUAUUGAACCGCAUGGUUCAAUAGUGAAAGACGGUUUUGCUGUCACUUAUAGAUGGAUCCGCGCCGCAUUAGCUAGUUGGUAAGGUAACGGCUUACCAAGGCAACGAUGCGUAGCCGACCUGAGCGGGUGAUCGGCCACACUGGAACUGAGACACGGUCCAGACUCCUACGGGAGGCAGCAGUAGGGAAUCUUCCGCAAUGGGCGAAAGCCUGACGGAGCAACGCCGCGUGAGUGAUGAAGGUCUUCGGAUCGUAAAACUCUGUUAUUAGGGAAGAACAAAUGUGUAAGUAACUAUGCACGUCUUGACGGUACCUAAUCAGAAAGCCACGGCUAACUACGUG